This 377-nucleotide transfer-messenger RNA is filed under the name human gut metagenome. It matches the Rfam family "transfer-messenger RNA". From Rfam's summary of the family: Bacterial tmRNA, also known as 10Sa RNA or SsrA, is named for its dual tRNA and mRNA-like properties. Its role is to liberate the mRNA from a stalled ribosome. The record is from RNAcentral.
GGGGACGUAAAGGUUUCGACGGGGAUUUUGCAGUACGAUAAGCGGGUAGAGCCGGAGAAUCUCUGAAAAAGCUCCAACCUUAAACCAAACGCUAACGACGAAUUAGCACUGGCCGCCUAAGUGCGGUCUGUCCGCCGGGGGAUCGCUGCGACCCUCGGAUGUCCCGUCUCGGGAAGUACCCCCUUUGGUACUGGCAUCAUGUAGCAGCGUCCGUGAACGGUGAGUUCGCAUUUGUAACCGUCAUGCACUAAAUUGCUACUGACCGCGGAAGCCUGACGACCGGCGUCUGCGGCAGGAAACACAAAAGACCGUCUGCACCCGGAGAAAGUCGUAUGAAUAGGUUUUCGGACAGGGGUUCGACUCCCCUCGUCUCCAUC